UCCACCGAUUGACUAAGGUUUCCAGAGGAAGGCUCGUCCGCUCUGGGUUAGUCGGGUCCUAAGCUGAGGCCGACAGGCGUAGGCGAUGGAUAACAGGUUGAUAUUCCUGUACCACCAUUAUUCGUUUUAAGCGAUGGGGGGACGCAGUAGGAUAGGCGAAGCGUGCUGUUGGAGUGCACGUCCAAGCAGUGAGAUUGAGUGUUAGGCAAAUCCGGCACUCUUAAGAUUGAGCUGUGAUGGGGAGAGGAACUUGUUCCUCGAGUCGUUGAUUUCACACUGCCGAGAAAAGCCUCUAGCUAGAAUAACGGUGCCCGUACCGCAAACCGACACAGGUAGUCAAGAUGAGAAUUCUAAGGUGAGCGAGCGAACUCUCGUUAAGGAACUCGGCAAAAUGACCCCGUAACUUCGGGAGAAGGGGUGCUCUUUGAGGUUCACGCUUCGAAGAGCCGCAGUGAAUAGGCCCAAGCGACUGUUUAUCAAAAACACAGGUCUCUGCUAAACCGUAAGGUGACGUAUAGGGGCUGACGCCUGCCCGGUGCUGGAAGGUUAAGAGGAGUGGUUAGCGCAAGCGAAGCUACGAAUCGAAGCCCCAGUAAACGGCGGCCGUAACUAUAACGGUCCUAAGGUAGCGAAAUUCCUUGUCGGGUAAGUUCCGACCCGCACGAAAGGCGUAACGAUUUGGGCACUGUCUCAACGAGAGACUCGGUGAAAUCAUAGUACCGGUGAAGAUGCCGGUUACCCGCGACAGGACGGAAAGACCCCGUGGAGCUUUACUGUAGCCUGAUAUUGAAAUUCGGUACAGUUUGUACAGGAUAGGUAGGAGCCUUAGAAGCGUGAGCGCUAGCUUACGUGGAGGCAUUGGUGGGAUACUACCCUAAUUGUAUUGGAUUUCUAACCCGCAGCACUUAUCGUGCUGGGAGACAGUGUCAGGCGGGCAGUUUGACUGGGGCGGUCGCCUCCUAAAGAGUAACGGAGGCGCUCAAAGGUUCCCUCAGAAUGGUUGGAAAUCAUUCAUAGAGUGUAAAGGCAUAAGGGAGCUUGACUGCGAGACCUACAAGUCGAGCAGGGUCGAAAGACGGACUUAGUGAUCCGGUGGUUCCGCAUGGAAGGGCCAUCGCUCAACGGAUAAAAGCUACCCCGGGGAUAACAGGCUUAUCUCCCCCAAGAGUUCACAUCGACGGGGAGGUUUGGCACCUCGAUGUCGGCUCAUCGCAUCCUGGGGCUGUAGUCGGUCCCAAGGGUUGGGCUGUUCGCCCAUUAAAGCGGUACGCGAGCUGGGUUCAGAACGUCGUGAGACAGUUCGGUCCCUAUCCGUCGUGGGCGUAGGAAAUUUGAGAGGAGCUGUCCUUAGUACGAGAGGACCGGGAUGGACAUACCUCUGGUGUACCAGUUGUCGUGCCAACGGCAUAGCUGGGUAGCUAUGUAUGGACGGGAUAAGUGCUGAAAGCAUCUAAGCAUGAAGCCCCCCUCGAGAUGAGAUUUCCCAACUUCGGUUAUAAGAUCCCUCAAAGAUGAUGAGGUGAAUAGGUUCGAGGUGGAAGCGUAGCGAUACGUGGAGCUGACGAAUACUA
This 1571-nucleotide ribosomal RNA is filed under the name Staphylococcus pseudintermedius. Its description in RNAcentral is "partial 23S ribosomal RNA". It matches the Rfam family "Bacterial large subunit ribosomal RNA", at positions 1333 to 2903 of the family's 2925-position model. Lineage: Bacteria; Bacillati; Bacillota; Bacilli; Caryophanales; Staphylococcaceae. The record is from RNAcentral.